This 331-nucleotide long non-coding RNA is filed under the name Panax ginseng (ginseng). RNAcentral's name for it is "long non-coding RNA (PGIN_LNC009717)". The record is from RNAcentral. Lineage: Eukaryota; Viridiplantae; Streptophyta; Magnoliopsida; Apiales; Araliaceae.
AAUAAUGAAUUAUUGGAUGUGGUCUAAUUAACAAUAAUUAACCACAAUAAUAAUUGAACAAUAUUAACUCAAGAUUGAGUUAAGGAAACUUCCCUUCUGCGUUGAUUACAGCUGCACAAUAAACUUAUCUGCGUUUGAAAGACCUAUAACCAAUAAUAUCGGUCUCACAAUUAGCAUAAUAUUUCAUAACACAUAACACUGUAAUUCACAGUCAAACCUUUUCCUAGGCACAUUACCACAUAGCCACAUCAGUGUUUAUAACCUAUAUAAACACUUAACAAGUCUAACUAGUUCAGUCUGGUUGGACUUCGAUCUAUUCUCGGUGUUCUGG